Molecule: ribosomal RNA, 597 nt
Filed under: uncultured bacterium
Lineage: Bacteria
Description: bacterial SSU rRNA
Rfam family: Bacterial small subunit ribosomal RNA
Source: RNAcentral
AGAGUUUGAUCAUGGCUCAGGAUGAACGCUAGCUACAGGCUUAACACAUGCAAGUCGAGGGGCAGCAUCAUCAAAGCUUGCUUUGAUGGAUGGCGACCGGCGCACGGGUGAGUAACACGUAUCCAACCUGCCGACAACACUGGGAUAGCCUUUCGAAAGAAAGAUUAAUACCGGAUGGCAUAGUUUUCCCGCAUGGGAUAAUUAUUAAAGAAUUUCGGUUGUCGAUGGGGAUGCGUUCCAUUAGGCAGUUGGCGGGGUAACGGCCCACCAAACCUACGAUGGAUAGGGGUUCUGAGAGGAAGGUCCCCCACAUUGGAACUGAGACACGGUCCAAACUCCUACGGGAGGCAGCAGUGAGGAAUAUUGGUCAAUGGACGAGAGUCUGAACCAGCCAAGUAGCGUGAAGGAUGACUGCCCUAUGGGUUGUAAACCUCUUUUAUACGGGAAUAAAGUGAGCCACGUGUGGCUUUUUGUAUGUACCGUAUGAAUAAGGAUCGGCUAACUCCGUGCCAGCAGCCGCGGUAAUACGGAGGAUUCGAGCGUUAUCCGGAUUUAUUGGGUUUAAAGGGAGCGUAGGCGGGUUGUUAAGUCAGUUGU